AUGGGGGCCCCGAUCACACACUGGGUCUGUUUAACACCAAGUGAACUGGGGGCCCUGAUCCUGCUCGCUAGCGACACGGCCCCGUCUGUCUUCCCCCUGACCUCCUGCACCGGCGAAGUCACCACCUCCCCGGUCACCUUCGGCUGCCUGGCCAACGGCUACUUCCCUGAGCCAGUCACCGUGACAUGGAGCCCCAACGUCAGCUCCUCGGGCGUGAGGACCUAUCCCUCCGUGCUGCAACCUUCCAGCGGCCUCUACUCGCUCAGCAGCCAGGUCACCGUCCCGGCCACCAGCUGGAAGUCUAACACCUAUAGCUGCACCGUACAGCACCAGCCCACCAGCUCCAGCAUCUCCAAGGAAAUCCCAAAGUCCAUUAAACCUAAGGUGGAAGUGCUCUACUCCUGCACCACCAACCCAGGCACCGUCCAGCUGGUGUGCUUAAUCUCUGGCUUCAACCCUAAGCCUUUGACGGUGCAAUGGAUGGUGGCCGGCAAGCCCAGUGGCGCCGCCACUACCACGGAGGAAGCCGACGGCCACACCUUCAGUGUCUCCGAGAGCGAGUGGCUGGAGGGCAAGACGUACACGUGCGAGGUGUCCCAGACGGGCACCACACCAAUGCAGGCCCACGCCCACAAGUGCGGAGAAGAAAGAACGUCUCCCAGCAACAUCCAGGUCUUCCUGGUGCCCCCGUCUCCUGCCACCCUGUAUGUGGCCCAGAGCCCCAUGCUCAACUGCCUGGUGGUCAACCUGCCUAGCGACUCUGGCCUCCAGGUGGUCUGGUCCCGAGAGAAGCCGGGGUCCAUUGUCCCUGAACCCCUGAACCUCACUGAGCAGCUCAACAGCACCAUCACCGCCUCCAGCUCCAUGCCCAUCUUCACCCGCGACUGGGAGGCUGGAGAGAACUUCACCUGCACAGUGAAGCACUCAGAGCUGCCCUCACCCCUCAUCAAAUCAAUCUCCAAGAAGCCAGGCAGACGCUCUGGCCCUGGCAUCUACCUCCUGCACCCCCACAACGAGGAGCUGAGCAGCUCCGAAGAGUCCAUCAGCCUCACCUGCCUGGUGAGGGGCUUCUUCCCCGAGGACAUCUCGGUGCAGUGGAUGAAGAACCACAAACCCGAUGAGAGUUUGGAAUACAUCACCACCCAGCCCAUCAAGGACGGAGCCGGCGACUCGAACUUCUUCCUCUACAGCAAGCUGACAGCCAGCAAGGCCAGCUGGAACACUGGGGACAUCUACACCUGCAUGGUCAUCCACGAAGCCCUGCAGAUGAAGUUCACCCAACGCAGCGUCAGCAAAGUCUCUGAGGUGAUCGUGUCAGGUGAGUUUUGCAGCGAGGACGGAGACGAGGAGCUGGACGGCCUCUGGUCCACCAUCUCGGUCUUCAUCACCCUCUUCCUCUUGAGCGUGUGCUACAGCGCCACCAUGACCCUGUUCAAGGUGAAGUGGCUUUUCUCUGCCAUGGUGCAGCUGAAGCAGGCGAGUGGCCCCGAGUACAAGAAUGUGAUCCAGGGCGUGGUGUAG
Mauremys mutica (yellowpond turtle) is the source of this 1521-nucleotide non-coding RNA. The record is from the annotation of a RefSeq genome assembly. NCBI's taxonomy places the organism in Eukaryota, Metazoa, Chordata, Testudines, Geoemydidae.